Molecule: ribosomal RNA, 444 nt
Filed under: uncultured soil bacterium
Lineage: Bacteria
Description: bacterial SSU rRNA
Rfam family: Bacterial small subunit ribosomal RNA
Source: RNAcentral
AGAGCGAACGCUGGCGGCAGGCCUAAUACAUGCAAGUCGAGCGGCCACUUCGGUGGCAGCGGCGGACGGGUGAGUAACGCGUGGGAAUGUGCCCUUUGGUACGGAACAACUGAGGGAAACUUCAGCUAAUACCGUAUGUGCCCUUCGGGGGAAAGAUUUAUUGCCAUUGGAGCAGCCCGCGUUGGAUUAGCUAGUUGGUGGGGUAAAGGCCCACCAAGGCGACGAUCCAUAGCUGGUCUGAGAGGAUGAUCAGCCACACUGGGACUGAGACACGGCCCAGACUCCUACGGGAGGCAGCAGUAGGGAAUCUUGCGCAAUGGGCGAAAGCCUGACGCAGCCAUGCCGCGUGAAUGAUGAAGGUCUUAGGAUUGUAAAAUUCUUUCACCGGGAAGAUAAUGACGGUACCCGGAGAAGAAGCCCGGCUAACUUCGUGCCAGCAGCCGC